RNAcentral lists this ribosomal RNA (731 nucleotides) under uncultured bacterium. RNAcentral describes it as "bacterial SSU rRNA". It matches the Rfam family "Bacterial small subunit ribosomal RNA", at positions 771 to 1501 of the family's 1533-position model. The record is from RNAcentral.
AACAGGAUUAGAUACCCUGGUAGUCCACGCCGUAAACGAUGUCGACUUGGAGGUUGUGCCCUUGAGGCGUGGCUUCCGGAGCUAACGCGUUAAGUCGACCGCCUGGGGAGUACGGCCGCAAGGUUAAAACUCAAAUGAAUUGACGGGGGCCCGCACAAGCGGUGGAGCAUGUGGUUUAAUUCGAUGCAACGCGAAGAACCUUACCUACUCUUGACAUCCACGGAAUUUGGCAGAGAUGCCUUAGUGCCUUCGGGAACCGUGAGACAGGUGCUGCAUGGCUGUCGUCAGCUCGUGUUGUGAAAUGUUGGGUUAAGUCCCGCAACGAGCGCAACCCUUAUCCUUUGUUGCCAGCGAGUAAUGUCGGGAACUCAAAGGAGACUGCCGGUGAUAAACCGGAGGAAGGUGGGGAUGACGUCAAGUCAUCAUGGCCCUUACGGCCAGGGCUACACACGUGCUACAAUGGCGCAUACAAAGAGAAGCGACCUCGCGAGAGCAAGCGGACCUCAUAAAGUGCGUCGUAGUCCGGAUCGGAGUCUGCAACUCGACUCCGUGAAGUCGGAAUCGCUAGUAAUCGUAGAUCAGAAUGCUACGGUGAAUACGUUCCCGGGCCUUGUACACACCGCCCGUCACACCAUGGGAGUGGGUUGCAAAAGAAGUAGGUAGCUUAACCUUCGGGAGGGCGCUUACCACUUUGUGAUUCAUGACUGGGGUGAAGUCGUAACAAGGUAACC